Molecule: transfer RNA, 73 nt
Filed under: Monodelphis domestica (gray short-tailed opossum)
Lineage: Eukaryota; Metazoa; Chordata; Mammalia; Didelphimorphia; Didelphidae
Rfam family: tRNA
About the family: Transfer RNA (tRNA) molecules are approximately 80 nucleotides in length.
Source: Rfam by way of RNAcentral
GGCUAAGUAGUACAGUGGAUAGAACACCAGACCUGUAGUCAGGAAAAUCUAAGUUCAAAUCUAGCCUCAGUCA